CGGAACGUGCCCGAUCGUGGGGGAUAACGCAGCGAAAGCUGUGCUAAUACCGCAUACGAUCUACGGAUGAAAGCGGGGGAUCGCAAGACCUCGCGCGGACGGAGCGGCCGAUGGCAGAUUAGGUAGUUGGUGGGGUAAAGGCUCACCAAGCCUGCGAUCUGUAGCUGGUCUGAGAGGACGACCAGCCACACUGGGACUGAGACACGGCCCAGACUCCUACGGGAGGCAGCAGUGGGGAAUUUUGGACAAUGGGCGCAAGCCUGAUCCAGCCAUGCCGCGUGCAGGAUGAAGGCCUUCGGGUUGUAAACUGCUUUUGUACGGAACGAAAAGGUUCUUUCUAAUAAAGAGAGCUCAUGACGGUACCGUAAGAAUAAGCACCGGCUAACUACGUGCCAGCAGCCGCGGUAAUACGUAGGGUGCAAGCGUUAAUCGGAAUUACUGGGCGUAAAGCGUGCGCAGGCGGUGAUGUAAGACAGAUGUGAAAUCCCCGGGCUCAACCUGGGAACUGCAUUUGUGACUGCAUCGCUGGAGUGCAGCAGAGGGGGAUGGAAUUCCGCGU
Molecule: ribosomal RNA, 559 nt
Filed under: uncultured bacterium
Lineage: Bacteria
Description: bacterial SSU rRNA
Rfam family: Bacterial small subunit ribosomal RNA
Source: RNAcentral